UACGUAGGGGGCGAGCGUUAAUCGGAAUUACUGGGCGUAAAGAGCGCGCAGGCGGCCGCGCAAGUCGAGUGUGAAAGCCCCGAGCUUAACUUGGGAAUUGCGCUCGAAACUACGUGGCUGGAGUAUGGCAGAGGAAGGUGGAAUUCCACGUGUAGCGGUGAAAUGCGUAGAGAUGUGGAGGAACACCGAUGGCGAAGGCAGCCUUCUGGGCCAAUACUGACGCUCAUGCACGAAAGCGUGGGGAGCAAACAGG
RNAcentral lists this ribosomal RNA (253 nucleotides) under uncultured bacterium. RNAcentral describes it as "partial 16S ribosomal RNA". It matches the Rfam family "Bacterial small subunit ribosomal RNA", at positions 524 to 776 of the family's 1533-position model. The record is from RNAcentral.